This 408-nucleotide long non-coding RNA is filed under the name Canis lupus familiaris (dog). Its description in RNAcentral is "lncRNA (ENSCAFG00030007278.1)". The record is from RNAcentral. Lineage: Eukaryota; Metazoa; Chordata; Mammalia; Carnivora; Canidae.
CUUCAGCGCACACGUAGCACACCCCUCUGUCCCAAGUGCUCAAAGUCGGGGCGUCGCGUGGUGUGCUUAGUUGUUUAGUCCUCUGUCACGCUAAUACGUUGUGUCGAUCUAGGGCACGGACGCUUCCUCGCAGGCGAUUUUGACAGCAAUCAUCCUACCAAGCUAUUAUGAAGUGUGAUGUCAGUGCGUUCUGCAGGACGGAUAAUGUAUAAGCCAGAUCUUGACACGCUAUCUUACAAGGAAGCAGCUGAGACCAUCAGUCCUUUCAAGCACGGAUCGCAGUGCCCAGUGGUCAAUACCCUUACUUUUAUCCAGUGUCUGCUUCAUUUAAACUUAAUCAACUCCAUCAACGAACUGGAACAGGGAAACGUCCCUGCGGCUUCUAAUGUGAGGAAAAACACGGAAUGA